GCGUCAGUAGUGCAACGGUUUAGAGCACGCUUCUCCGGACAAAGUGAGAUACGGGUUUGAGUCCCGCCUGAUGCA
Non-coding RNA from Parelaphostrongylus tenuis, 75 nucleotides. NCBI's taxonomy places the organism in Eukaryota, Metazoa, Nematoda, Chromadorea, Rhabditida, Metastrongylidae. The record is from the annotation of a GenBank genome assembly.